RNAcentral lists this ribosomal RNA (253 nucleotides) under uncultured Fibrella sp. Its description in RNAcentral is "partial 16S ribosomal RNA". It matches the Rfam family "Bacterial small subunit ribosomal RNA", at positions 524 to 776 of the family's 1533-position model. The record is from RNAcentral. Lineage: Bacteria; Pseudomonadati; Bacteroidota; Cytophagia; Cytophagales; Spirosomataceae.
UACGGAGGGUGCAAGCGUUGUCCGGAUUUAUUGGGUUUAAAGGGUGCGUAGGUGGCCUUGUAAGUCAGCUUUGAAAGCUGGUCGCUUAACGAUCAGGGGUGGGUUGAUACUGCGGGGCUUGGAUCAGGUGGCGGUUUCUGGAACGGGUCGUGUAGCGGUGAAAUGCAUAGAUAUGACCCAGAACUCCGAUUGCGAAGGCAGGAGGCUACGCCUGGAUUGACACUGAGGCACGAGAGCAUGGGGAGCAAACAGG